CCUACGGGUGGCUGCAGUGAGGAAUAUUGGUCAAUGGGCGAGAGCCUGAACCAGCCAAGUCGCGUGAAGGAUGACGGCCCUACGGGUUGUAAACUUCUUUUGUCAGGGAGCAAUUGAGUCCACGUGUGGGCUUAGCGAGAGUACCUGAAGAAAAAGCAUCGGCUAACUCCGUGCCAGCAGCCGCGGUAUAACGGAGGAUGCGAGCGUUAUCCGGAUUUAUUGGUUUUAAGGGGUGCGUGGGCGGAAUAUAAAGUCAGCGGUAAAAAUUCGGGGCUCAACGCAGUCGUGCCGUUGAAACUGAUGUUCUUGAGUGGGCGAGAAGUAUGCGGAAUGCGUGGUGUAGCGGUGAAAUGCAUAGAUAUCACGAAGAACUCCGAUUGCGAAGGCAGCAUACCGGCGCCCUACUGACGCUGAAGCACGAAAGCGUGGGUAUCGAACAGGAUUAGAUACCCCAGUAGUC
This 460-nucleotide ribosomal RNA is filed under the name uncultured bacterium. Its description in RNAcentral is "partial 16S ribosomal RNA". It matches the Rfam family "Bacterial small subunit ribosomal RNA", at positions 338 to 795 of the family's 1533-position model. The record is from RNAcentral.